CCUACGGGAGGCAGCAGUGGGGGAUAUUGCACAAUGGGGGGAACCCUGAUGCAGCGACGCCGCGUGGGUGAAGAAGCGCCUCGGCGUGUAAAGCUCUGUCAGCAGGGAAGAAAAUGACGGUACCUGAAGAUGAAGCCCCGGCUAACUACGUGCCAGCAGCCGCGGUAAUACGGCGGGGGCAAGCGUUAUCCGGAUUUACUGGGGGUAAAGGGGGCGGAGACGGCGAUGCAAGGCAGGAGUGAAAGCCCGGGGCCCAACCCCGGGACUGCUGUUGAAACUGCGUGGCUAGAGUGCAGGAGGGGCAGGCGGAAUUCAUGGUGUAGCGGUGAAAUGCGUAGAGAUCA
RNAcentral lists this ribosomal RNA (344 nucleotides) under uncultured bacterium. RNAcentral describes it as "partial 16S ribosomal RNA". It matches the Rfam family "Bacterial small subunit ribosomal RNA", at positions 338 to 699 of the family's 1533-position model. The record is from RNAcentral.